RNAcentral lists this ribosomal RNA (415 nucleotides) under uncultured bacterium. Its description in RNAcentral is "bacterial SSU rRNA". It matches the Rfam family "Bacterial small subunit ribosomal RNA", at positions 97 to 491 of the family's 1533-position model. The record is from RNAcentral.
GGCGUCCGGGUGAGUAACACGUGGGUAAUCUACCUCUGGGUGGGGAAUAACACCUCGAAAGAGGUGCUAAUACCGCAUAACGCAGCGGCACCUAAUGGUGAUUAGUUGUUAAAGCGGGGGAUCGCAAGACCUCGCGCCAGGAGAGGAGCCUGCGGCCGAUUAGCUAGUUGGUGAGGUAACGGCUCACCAAGGCUUCGAUCGGUAGCUGGUCUGAGAGGACGGCCAGCCACACUGGCACUGAAAUACGGGCCAGACUCCUACGGGAGGCAGCAGUGGGGAAUUUUGGGCAAUGGGCGCAAGCCUGACCCAGCAACGCCGCGUGAGGGAGGAAAUCCUUCGGGAUGUAAACCUCGCAAGCAGGGGAAGAGUGCUUUCGACCUAAUACGUCGAAAGAAGGACGGUACCCUGCGUAAGC